UUCCGGUUGAUCCUGCCAGAAGCCACUGCUAUUGGGGUUCGGCUAAGCCAUGCGAGUGGAGGGCGUCCCGCAAGGGAUGGCCCCGCAGACGGCUCAGUAACACGUCGUCAACAUACCCUGGGGUGGGGGACAACCUCGGGAAACUGAGGAUAAUCCCCCAUAGGUGGGGGAGGCUGGAAUGCGCCCCUGCUGAAAGCUCAGGCGCCCUAGGACGGGGCGGCGGCCUAUCAGGUAGUUGGUGGUGUAACGGACCACCAAGCCUACGACGGGUACGGGCUGUGAGAGCAGGAGCCCGGAGAUGGGGACUGAGACAAGGCCCCAGGCCCUACGGGGCGCAGCAGGCGCGAAAACUCCGCAAUGCGCGCAAGCGUGACGGGGGAACCCCAAGUGCCGCUGAUCUUUGAUCGGCGGCUUUUCGGGAGUGCAGGGAGCUCCCGGAAUAAGGGCUGGGUAAGACUGGUGCCAGCCGCCGCGGUAAUACCAGCAGCCCAAGUGGUGGUCGCGUUUAUUGGGCCUAAAGCGCUCGUAGCCGGGCCGGUAAGUUCCCCGCGAAAUCGGGUCGCUCAACGAUUCGGCUUGCGGGGAAUACUGUCGGUCUUGGGGCCGGGAGACGCCGAGGGUACUCCGGGGGUAGCGGUGAAAUGCUGUAAUCCCUGGGGGACUACCAGUGGCGAAGGCGCUCGGCGAGAACGGGCCCGACGGUGAGGGGCGAAAGCUGGGGGAGCGAACGGGAUUAGAUACCCCGGUAGUCCCAGCCGUAAAGGAUGCGGGCAAGGUGCUUGUCGCUCUUCGAGGGCGCCAGGUGCCGUAGAGAAGUCGUUAAGCCCGCCGCCUGGGAAGUACGGUCGCAAGGCUGAAACUUAAAGACAUUGGCGGGGGAGCACCACAAGGGGUGGGACCUGCGGUUCAAUUGGAGUCAACGCCGGG
RNAcentral lists this ribosomal RNA (927 nucleotides) under uncultured archaeon. Its description in RNAcentral is "bacterial SSU rRNA". It matches the Rfam family "Archaeal small subunit ribosomal RNA", at positions 1 to 922 of the family's 1478-position model. The record is from RNAcentral.